UUGUGUGUUGCAUGGUUCUAGAUUUUUAUUAAACGGCUCAAACGGGGUCCAACAGGUCAGUUUUAUUCAUAGCUACACAUUGAUAUUCUUGAUUUUUCCACCAUUUAGAUAAAUAUGUCACCAACACUGUUGCUUUAUUUCAUCAUAUUAAUCUUUAGUGAUGUGCAUUUGGUACCGGGUACCGGUACCGAAUUUCCCGUACCGAAUUGGUACCCAUUUUUUGUCGUUUUCGGUACCGGUACCGGUUCGAUACGAUACGGGUAGUUUAUCCGAUUUUGCCUUCAAAUACCGGUACCGUAGCGUACCGUACUGCACAUUUUUGGAGCGAAUUUCGGUACCGGUAUUUUCGGUACCGGUACCUAAUUGAUCUUACGUAAAAUUGUUAGUAAGUUUUGGUGAAGAAAAUUUGCAAGAACUUCUGCACAUGAUUAUUGACUUCUGCACAUGAUUUUCUUUAGACAAACCAUACCAUGGAAGAAACUAUAAGCAAUUCAACUCUAAUUGGCCAAAAGGGCAGCUCUGAUGGAAUGAUGGAUAUCGACACUCGCUAUAGCUUACGACAUAGAAACAAACUCUAUUAAACUCUCAAGGAAAUACUUGAAAACACCAUUUACAAUCGCUUUGGUUAGUUUUGAAACUAUUGAAACAUGUUUUGUCUAUAAAACCCAUCAUUUGAUGUUUUCCGAUUUGUGUGAUAUCUAAUGUGUUUUUGUGUUUAUGCAUCUAAGGUUGGUGACCAAGAUGAAAAGCUGGCAGAAGGUAUCAAGCUUUAUGCUAUACCAACCACCUCAACUACAAAGCGGUCAAUACUUUUAAAAUUUGAUUUUAAAAGGAAUAGUGUCUGUGCAUAGAAUUUGCAUCAGGGUGGAAGCUUAGGGUCUUUUUCCCUGGACAUAAGUAGGCUGUUGCAGCUUUGUGAUGAAGACGAUGAUGGUGUAACCAGCGGGUAAGCUGCCCCAAAACCCGACCCAGAUGCUCACAACAUUAGCCCAAAUUCUAUUGUGAACAACACGGUUAAUAACUUACCGAAGCAUUUGUAGGGAGUGUUACCAGAACUUUGGGUAUUCCAAAUACCAUCUUUUCUUAACUGGAAGUAAAGAUGGGGAUGUAAAGCUUUGGGAUGAUAAAAGGGCAAAAUUGGUAUCAUUGGCCAAAAAUACAUGAUAGACAACCUUCAUUCAACCGCUCAAGAGGAUUUAGAGUGGUCAGGGUAUACCAUUUUUACCCUUUUAGUUUAAUUUUUUGUUUAGUAGAUAAUAACAUGAGGUUUACACUUGAAUUUUAAAUUAAAGAUUGAAACACUGUGAUAGAUAUUUAGGUUGUUUCAAAUUG
Helianthus annuus (common sunflower) is the source of this 1332-nucleotide long non-coding RNA. RefSeq lists it as uncharacterized. The transcript is spliced from 5 exons. The record is from RefSeq and is a predicted model, not a curated record. Lineage: Eukaryota; Viridiplantae; Streptophyta; Magnoliopsida; Asterales; Asteraceae.